This 265-nucleotide ribosomal RNA is filed under the name uncultured archaeon. RNAcentral's name for it is "partial 16S ribosomal RNA". It matches the Rfam family "Archaeal small subunit ribosomal RNA", at positions 717 to 982 of the family's 1478-position model. The record is from RNAcentral.
AGUCACUGACAUUAGAUACCCGUGUAGUCCAGGGUGUAAACGCUGCAGACUUGGUGUUGGAAGUCCUUUGGGGGCAUUCAGUGCCGGAGAGAAGUUGUUAAGUCUGCUACUUGGGGAGUACGUCCGCAAGGAUGAAACUUAAAGGAAUGGGCGGGGGAGCACCGCAACGGGAGGAGCGUGCGGUUUAAUUGGAUUCAACACCGUAAAACUCACCAGGAAAGACUGCUACAUGAAAGCCGAGAUGAAGACUCUGCUAGAUUUUCAG